Molecule: ribosomal RNA, 254 nt
Filed under: uncultured bacterium
Lineage: Bacteria
Description: partial 16S ribosomal RNA
Rfam family: Bacterial small subunit ribosomal RNA
Source: RNAcentral
CACGUAGGGUGCGAGCGUUGUCCGGAAUUAUUGGGCGUAAAGAGCUCGUAGGCGGUGUGUCGCGUCGGCCGUGAAAACCUGCAGCUUAACUGUGGGCUUGCGGUCGAUACGGGCAUCACUGGAGUUCGGCAGGGGAGACUGGAAUUCCUGGUGUAGCGGUGAAAUGCGCAGAUAUCGAGAGGAACACCUGCGGCGAAGGCGGGUUGCUGGGCUGACACUGACGCUGAAGUGCGAAAGCUAGGGGAGCGAACGGG